This 73-nucleotide transfer RNA is filed under the name Planctomycetota bacterium. RNAcentral's name for it is "tRNA-Ile". It matches the Rfam family "tRNA". From Rfam's summary of the family: Transfer RNA (tRNA) molecules are approximately 80 nucleotides in length. Their secondary structure includes four short double-helical elements and three loops (D, anti-codon, and T loops). RNAcentral also lists the same sequence under 1 other name. Lineage: Bacteria; Pseudomonadati; Planctomycetota. The record is from RNAcentral.
GGGCCCGUAGCUCAAUGGUUAGAGCAGGGGACUCAUAAUCUCCGGGUUCUCGGUUCGAAUCCGAGCGGGCCCA